This 426-nucleotide ribosomal RNA is filed under the name Apoderiger sp. JP-2014. RNAcentral's name for it is "partial 16S ribosomal RNA". The record is from RNAcentral. Lineage: Eukaryota; Metazoa; Arthropoda; Insecta; Coleoptera; Staphylinidae.
GUCUUUUUGAUUAUUAUUUAAGGUUAGGUCUGCCCAUUGAUUUUUAAAAGGCUGCAGUAUUUUGACUGUACAAAGGUAGCAUAAUAAUUAGUUUUUUAAUUAAAAGCUAGAAUGAAUGAUUUAAUGAAAAAAAUACUGUCUCUUUUUUAUUUUAUAAAAUUUUAUUUUUAAGUUAAAAAGCUUAAAUUUUAUUAAAAGACGAGAAGACCCUAUAGAGUUUAAUAUAAAUUUUUAAUAUUUAUUUUUUUUAUUUUAUUUAUAUUAUUAAAAUAUAUUUUGUUGGGGUGACAGAAAAGUUUAUUAAACCUUUUUAUUAUAAAAACAGUUUUUACUGAAUUUUUGAUCCUUUUAAAGAUUAUUAGAUUAAAUUACCUUAGGGAUAACAGCGUAAUUUUUUUGGAGAGUUCAUAUCUAUAAAAAAGUUUG